Molecule: ribosomal RNA, 501 nt
Filed under: uncultured bacterium
Lineage: Bacteria
Description: bacterial SSU rRNA
Rfam family: Bacterial small subunit ribosomal RNA
Source: RNAcentral
CGAACGCUGGCGGCGUGCCUAACACAUGCAAGUCGAACGAGAAACCUCGGGCUUGCUCGAGGGAGUAAAGUGGCGCACGGGUGAGUAACGCGUGGGUAACCUGCCCUUGGAUCGGGGAUAACUUCGCGAAAGCGUAGCUAAUACCGGAUAAUGUCCUGUUGACUUCGGUCUUCAGGAUGAAAGAUGACCUCUUCAUGAAAGUUGUCGUUCAGGGAGGGGCCCGCGUACCAUUAGCUUGUUGGUGGGGUAAUGGCCCACCAAGGCAACGAUGGUUAGCUGGUCUGAGAGGAUGAUCAGCCACACUGGAACUGAAACACGGUCCAGACUCCUACGGGAGGCAGCAGUGAGGAAUUUUGCGCAAUGGGGGAAACCCUGACGCAGCAACGCCGCGUGAGUGAAGAAGGCUUUCGGGUCGUAAAGCUCUGUCAAGUGGGAAAAAAAGCUCUCGAUUAAUAGUCGGGAGACCUGAUGGUACCACUGGAGGAAGCACCGGCUAACUCC